Molecule: ribosomal RNA, 474 nt
Filed under: uncultured bacterium
Lineage: Bacteria
Description: bacterial SSU rRNA
Rfam family: Bacterial small subunit ribosomal RNA
Source: RNAcentral
CUACGCACUCCUACGGGAGGCAGCAGUGGGGAAUAUUGCACAAUGGGCGCAAGCCUGAUGCAGCCAUGCCGCGUGUAUGAAGAAGGCCUUCGGGUUGUAAAGUACUUUCAGCAGUGAGGAAGGUGGGUAUGUUAAUAGCAUACUCAUUUGACGUUAGCUGCAGAAGAAGCACCGGCUAACUCCGUGCCAGCAGCCGCGGUAAUACGGAGGGUGCGAGCGUUAAUCGGAAUUACUGGGCGUAAAGCGCAUGCAGGUGGUUUGUUAAGUCAGAUGUGAAAGGCCCGGGGCUCAACCUCGGAAUUGCAUUUAGAAACUGGACAAACUAGAGUACUGUAGAGGGGGUAGAAUUUCAGGUGUAGCGGUGAAAUGCGUAGAGAUCUGAAGGAAUACCGGUGGCGAAGGCGGCCCCCUGGACAGAUACUGACACUCAGAUGCGAAAGCGUGGGGAGCAAACAGGAUUAGAUACCCUGGUAG